CUGGUAACUCUAUUUCGAAACUCUACCAAAAUUUUCGUUCAAGCACUCCAUUUCUGUUGAAGCAGAGUACUGACUUGAGCAUCGGAGGGUCUUGUCGGAGCACCCCCAACUCCGGUUUAGAUUUUUUUUACAGGUCCCGGUGGUGGCCGCGGUCAUCCCAGCUCCAGCUUCUCCAACUUCGAUGGAAUUCUGCACCAACAGAAUUGGCGCUAGAGGAAGGGCGCUGUGUGUCU
Molecule: long non-coding RNA, 233 nt
Filed under: Elaeis guineensis (African oil palm)
Lineage: Eukaryota; Viridiplantae; Streptophyta; Magnoliopsida; Arecales; Arecaceae
Description: long non-coding RNA (EGUI_LNC052714)
Source: RNAcentral